RNAcentral lists this ribosomal RNA (439 nucleotides) under uncultured bacterium. Its description in RNAcentral is "bacterial SSU rRNA". It matches the Rfam family "Bacterial small subunit ribosomal RNA", at positions 8 to 437 of the family's 1533-position model. The record is from RNAcentral.
AGAGUUUGAUCCUGGCUCAGAGCGAACGCUGGCGGCGUGCUUAACACAUGCAAGUCGAACGCGCAGCAGUUUGUAGCAAUACAGAUUGUGGGCGCGUGGCGAACGGGUGCGUAACACGUGGAUAACCUUCCUUCAGGUGGGGAAUAACCCAGUGAAAAUUGGGCUAAUACCGCAUAACAUGACGAUGGCUCAUGCUGUUGUCUUCAAAGGCGCAAGUCGCCAGAAGAGGGAUCCGCGGCCGAUUAGCUAGUUGGCGAGGUAAUGGCUCACCAAGGCUUUGAUCGGUAGCCGGACUGAGAGGUUGGCCGGCCACACUGGAACUGAGACACGGUCCAGACUCCUACGGGAGGCAGCAGUGGGGAAUCUUGCACAAUGGACGAAAGUCUGAUGCAGCAACGCCGCGUGGGGGAUGAAGCUUUUCGGAGUGUAAACCCCUUUC